RNAcentral lists this ribosomal RNA (425 nucleotides) under uncultured bacterium. RNAcentral's name for it is "partial 16S ribosomal RNA". It matches the Rfam family "Bacterial small subunit ribosomal RNA", at positions 354 to 796 of the family's 1533-position model. The record is from RNAcentral.
GUGGGGAAUCUUGCGCAAUGGGCGAAAGCCUGACGCAGCCAUGCCGCGUGAAUGAUGAAGGUCUUAGGAUUGUAAAAUUCUUUCACCGGGGACGAUAAUGACGGUACCCGGAGAAGAAGCUCCGGCUAACUUCGUGCCAGCAGCCGCGGUAAUACGAAGGGGGCUAGCGUUGCUCGGAAUUACUGGGCGUAAAGGGCGCGUAGGCGGACAGUUUAGUCAGAGGUGAAAGCCCAGGGCUCAACCUUGGAAUUGCCUUUGAUACUGGCUGCCUUGAGUACGGGAGAGGUGAGUGGAACUCCGAGUGUAGAGGUGAAAUUCGUAGAUAUUCGGAAGAACACCAGUGGCGAAGGCGACUCACUGGCCCGUUACUGACGCUGAGGCGCGAAAGCGUGGGGAGCAAACAGGAUUAGAAACCCGGGUAGUCC